GUGGGGAAUAUUGGACAAUGGGCGAAAGCCUGAUCCAGCAAUGCCGCGUGGAUGAAGAAGGUCUUCGGAUUGUAAAGUCCUUUCGGCGGGGACGAUGAUGACGGUACCCGCAGAAGAAGCCCCGGCUAACUUCGUGCCAGCAGCCGCGGUAAUACGAAGGGGGCUAGCGUUGCUCGGAAUGACUGGGCGUAAAGGGCGCGUAGGCGGUUUGGACAGUUGGGUGUGAAAUUCCCGGGCUUAACCCGGGGACUGCGCUCGAUACAUCCAGACUGGAGUGAGGAAGAGGGUCGUGGAAUUCCCAGUGUAGAGGUGAAAUUCGUAGAUAUUGGGAAGAACACCGGUGGCGAAGGCGGCGACCUGGUCCUUUACUGACGCUGAGGCGCGAAAGCGUGGGGAGCAAACAGGAUUAGAAACCCGAGUAGUCC
This 425-nucleotide ribosomal RNA is filed under the name uncultured bacterium. RNAcentral describes it as "bacterial SSU rRNA". It matches the Rfam family "Bacterial small subunit ribosomal RNA", at positions 354 to 796 of the family's 1533-position model. The record is from RNAcentral.